This 468-nucleotide ribosomal RNA is filed under the name uncultured bacterium. RNAcentral's name for it is "partial 16S ribosomal RNA". It matches the Rfam family "Bacterial small subunit ribosomal RNA", at positions 28 to 507 of the family's 1533-position model. The record is from RNAcentral.
GACGAACGCUGGCGGCGUGCUUAACACAUGCAAGUCGAACGGAAAGGCCCUGCUUUUGUGGGGUGCUCGAGUGGCGAACGGGUGAGUAACACGUGAGUAACCUGCCCUUGACUUUGGGAUAACUUCAGGAAACUGGGGCUAAUACCGGAUAGGAGCUCCUGCUGCAUGGUGGGGGUUGGAAAGUUUCGGCGGUUGGGGAUGGACUCGCGGGUUAUCAGCUUGUUGGUGGGGUAGUGGCUUACCAAGGCUUUGACGGGUAGCCGGCCUGAGAGGGUGACCGGCCACAUUGGGACUGAGAUACGGACCAGACUCCUACGGGAGGCAGCAGUGGGGAAUAUUGCACAAUGGGCGGAAGCCUGAUGCAGCAACGCUGCGUGCGGGAUGACGGCCUUCGGGUUGUAAACCGCUUUCGCCUGUGACGAAGCGUGAGUGACGGUAAUGGGUAAAGAAGCACCGGCUAACUACGUG